This is a long non-coding RNA of Carassius auratus (goldfish), 911 nucleotides long. RefSeq lists it as uncharacterized. The transcript is spliced from 4 exons. NCBI's taxonomy places the organism in Eukaryota, Metazoa, Chordata, Actinopteri, Cypriniformes, Cyprinidae. The record is from RefSeq and is a predicted model, not a curated record.
UCAGACCACGUGCUAACCAAUUAAUCAAGCUGCACCUGGUCUUAAAUUGACAGUAUAUCAGGGAGAGAGCAUGUGCUGCUCAGUUUAUCUGUUUUUCUACAGAAGGUACGUUUGUUUUAAAAGUGUCUGUGUGUUAAUUAUUUCUUCUUAGUUUGGAUUGUGGAUUUUUUGCUGAAGUGUUUAAUAUGUUCAUUUUGUUUGUUUUUUGUAAUGACCAAGUGUUCAAAGUGCCAACUCAUUUUAAGUGUUUUCUCUUUACUUGAAUUAGUUUUCUUAUUAUGGUAGUCUAUUGUUUGAUCUGUAAUACAAUUCUGGAUUUUAUUGGAAGGUAGGAUUUUGUGUGUUUUUGGAAAAGCAACGCACAAGAGUUUAGUAAUUCUGAUUCUAAUUCUGUUUGCAAAUUAUUUAAACAAAGUAAUUUAGUCUUCGUAGUCUACACUAUAUUUUCUUGAAAAUGGUCUCAUUAAUUGAUAGUUUAAUAAAGAGUUUAUUUAACUGUGAAAAUUAUUAUUUUUUUUUUGUGUGUGAAAUGUGUAAUUUGAAUAUAUGCUAAACAAUACUUUCUUCUUUUUAUGUGUGCUGGUGUAUUAACAAGAGUGAGUUGAGACAGUUGAGACUGCGAGCUGAGACUGCGAGCAGAGGUAAGGCAACUUUUGUAACCAUUAAAAACAAUUUAGAUCAUAGUGCUGAAGUAAGUGUUUAAUUGUAUAACAAAGCAUGGCUGACAAGUAUACCUUUUUUUUCUUUAAUGUGUGGUGGUGCACUGGUUAAAGACUGAGUUGUGUGAGUUGAGGUAAGGCAAUGUUUUGUAACCAUUUAAAAAAGAAUUUGGAAUGUACUGUGAAGUAAAUGUAUAACAAAGCAUGGCUGACAAGUAAACCUUUUUUCUUUUAUGCAUGGUCAUGCACUGG